RNAcentral lists this non-coding RNA (180 nucleotides) under Akkermansiaceae bacterium. RNAcentral describes it as "6S RNA". It matches the Rfam family "6S / SsrS RNA". From Rfam's summary of the family: E. coli 6S RNA was the first non coding RNA to be sequenced, but its function was unknown until recently. It consists of 184 nucleotides that fold into an extended hairpin structure with a large single-stranded internal bulge. The record is from RNAcentral. Lineage: Bacteria; Pseudomonadati; Verrucomicrobiota; Verrucomicrobiia; Verrucomicrobiales; Akkermansiaceae.
UUAAGACUGCUGUGUGCGCCUAUUUUGGUAGCUGGCCCGAACCGAUAUGAUUGAAACGGGGUCAUUCUUCCGAAGUCGUAUGUCAUGCCUUUUCAGGAAGACGGAAAACAUCGGACGACCCCACUUAUUGAGUUUACGGAACGUGGCUCACAGCGCCAAGGACGGCACAGCGGUUACUUU